GCGCGAAAGCUUUACAAUGCUGGCAACAGCGAUAAGGGAACCUCGAGUGCCAGGUUACAAAUCUGGCUGUCGAGAUGCCUAAAAAGCAUUUCAUAGCAAGGGCCGGGCAAGACCGGUGCCAGCCGCCGCGGUAACACCGGCGGCUCGAGUGGUAACCGUUAUUAUUGGGUCUAAAGGGUCUGUAGCCGGCCGGAUAAGUCUCCUGAGAAAUCUGGCAGCUUAACUGUCAGGCUUUCAGGAGAUACUGUCUGGCUCGAGGCCGGGAGAGGUGAGAGGUACUUCAGGGGUAGGGGUGAAAUCUUGUAAUCCUUGAAGGACCACCAGUAGCGAAGGCGUCUCACCAGAACGGACCUGACGGCAAGGGACGAAAGCUAGGGGCACGAACCG
Molecule: ribosomal RNA, 387 nt
Filed under: uncultured bacterium
Lineage: Bacteria
Description: bacterial SSU rRNA
Rfam family: Archaeal small subunit ribosomal RNA
Source: RNAcentral